Molecule: long non-coding RNA, 395 nt
Organism: Xenopus laevis (African clawed frog)
Lineage: Eukaryota; Metazoa; Chordata; Amphibia; Anura; Pipidae
Exons: 4
Source: RefSeq, a predicted model, not a curated record
GAUUGCUUGCUGGUCACAUGGGCAGUAUAGUUAAUUAUUACACUGAGCUGUGCAGGGGGACCCUGGGAGUGUGAAGAAAAAAUGCACCACAGAACCACCUGGACCCAAGACAAAGCUUGAGCCAACGGACACCUGCGGCUAAUGGUCACCAAGGAGAAGAUGGGCCUCUACACCAUAUACGUCAAUCCAGCCAACACCUACCAAUUUGCUGUGGGUGAGAGGGAUCAGUUUGUCAGGAUCUACGACCAGCGGACAAUUAAUGAAAAUGUAAAUAACGGCAUGCUCAAAAAGUUCUGUCCCAUCACCUGGUGAACUGCCUGGAGCCGCACCCCCACCUGCCUGUGUUGGCCACCAGCGGCCUCGAUUAUAAUGUGCAAAUCUGGCUUCCCACUGCC